Molecule: unclassified non-coding RNA, 204 nt
Filed under: soil metagenome
Description: partial contains 5.8S ribosomal RNA, internal transcribed spacer 2, and large subunit ribosomal RNA
Source: RNAcentral
AACAAGGCGUACCUGCGGACCUGCGGAAGGAUCAUUACCGAGUUUACAACUCCCAAACCCCUGUGAACAUACCACUUGUUGCCUCGGCGGAUCAGCCCGCUCCCGGUAGAACGGGACGGCCCGCCAGAGGACCCCUAAACUCUGUUUCUAUAUGUAACUUCUGAGUAAAACCAUAAAUAAAUCAAAACUUUUAGCAACGGAUCU